Molecule: long non-coding RNA, 4657 nt
Organism: Ctenopharyngodon idella (grass carp)
Lineage: Eukaryota; Metazoa; Chordata; Actinopteri; Cypriniformes; Xenocyprididae
Exons: 3
Source: RefSeq, a predicted model, not a curated record
AAAACCCCUGAAUUAUCAGAAGAAGUAAACACAAGAAAAGAUCAGUGGCUUUCCUCAAACGCAGCUUGUAGCGUCUCUUUAUUAACAUCAUAUCAUUUUGACUUUAUAAUUAUCAAUGUCACAAAAUACACACUAUUCACACAUCUGUUGUCUUAACUGUUAUAUUAGUAUCUUUUAAAAUGAAACUGUUUUACUGUACAAAAUGAUCACCGUCACUCUCAUAACACAUAUACACUACUCUAAGUCUGAACAAAUAUACAAAUACACACUUCUGAGUCAUUUUUAUAUUGGUAAAUUAGCGCAUACUGAAAUAAAAUGUAUUAUUUACAUGUGAAUUGACUACAAUCACAACAAUCAACCGUUUUAACCUGUAACUUUCACAUUUAACACAAACAAGUUAUUAGUUUUAAACACAUAGGAAAUGUGAACUGACAUGUCUUAUAAUGGCAAUGGCACAUAUUUUCAUUUUUUUUAAUGAAUAUAUACCUGAAUUAUCAGGAGAAGUAAACACAAGAAAAGAUCAGGGGCUUUCCUCAAACGCAGCUUGUAGCGUCUGAAGUAAACACAACGCGCAUCACCAUAGCAACCCACAACGGACUCACUCUAGUGGCAACAGUUGUAUUUUCUUUUAAAACUUCAGUCUUAAGUGGUGAUAAUUAAUGACUCGUGUACAAUAAACUCUUUGUCAAAUAAAUAAAGAAAGAAAUACAUAAAUAAUUAAAUAAAUGUAUAAAUAAAUAAAUAUUAAUACCAAAAGACACAUUACCUUGUGAUUACACAUGGGUGUAUCACAUAUUCACCACACGAAGUCCAUAGUUUCCUUUAUCAUGGUUUAUUCUUCCAAGUCAAUAAAGAAUCACAUUUCUUUAUUAACAAAAACAAUUAUUGUACCAAAUUUAGGCUACAUGAUAAAAAUGUGAAAAUAUAAAUUCUGAAACAUGAAAUAUGGCUCUUACACUUUGACAGCAAUGCCAUAGAAAUAUACAGAGCUACCGCAAAAACGGAAGUUCAAAGACAAAAUUCUAAAGAUGGCUGCGCGCACGUUUCUCAUGACAACAGUUCACUUGUUCAAAGCACAUUAAAUGAUAUUCAGUGAUAUUUAAUAAAUUCAUGGUCCUUGUGUUGUUGUCUUGAUUUAAACACUUCAACAUGAUGAAAUCUGAUUCCACACAGAACUGAAGAUUUUCUUCCUGAUGUCUGAGUGAAACAGCUUCUCGAACAAGAACAAAUGUAAGGCGGGACUUGAUUUUGUUCAUGGAGAAUUGACUGGAUGGUUGAAUGGCUGUGGUUUGCUAUUGGUGGAUCUCAUGUGAGUGACAGGUUGCCCCGCCCUCACACCAGUAAACACAUCAUCAAGAGAUGUUGCUGCAAGAUCUGUAACAUCAUUCAAGAUUACGAGGCACAUUAAUUUAAACAAAUUUAAACAGCAUGGGCACCCUGACUGGUCUGUGUCUAUGCAGCUCCAUACGCAAAAAACUGUGAUGCACUGUGUAUUCUGACACCUUUCUAUCAGAACCAGCAUUAACUUCUUGAGCAGUUUGAGCUACAGUAGCUCGUCUGUUGGAUCGGACCACACGGGCCAGCCUUCGCUCCCCACGUGCAUCAAUGAGCCUCGGCCGCCCAUGACCCUGUCGCCGGUUCACCACUGUUCCUUCCUUGGAGCACUUUUGGUAGAUACUGACCACUGCAGACCGGGAACACCCCACAAGAGCUGCAGUUUUGGAGAUGCUCUGACCCAGUCGUCUAGCCAUCACAAUUUGGUCCUCGUCAAACUCGCUCAAAUCCUUACACUUGCCCAUUUUUCCUGCUUCUAACACAUCAACUUUGAGGACAAAAUGUUCACUUGCUGCCUAAUAUAUCCCACCCACUAACAGGUGCCGUGAUGAAGAGAGAAUCAGUGUUAUUCACUUCACCUGUCAGUGCUCAAAAUGUUAUGACUGAUUGGUGUAUAUCUAUAUAUAUCCAAAUGAAUAGAUAUUGAAUCAACACUGAAACUGAAUCGCAAGCUCACAACCCGUUCUCACUCUCGAGGCGUCAAAAACUGAAGCAUGGUCAAGCGCCCCAGCGUCACUUGGGAUACGCCAAAGGUGCCCCUCGGUGCCCCUCUAUGGACGAACUGGGAACUCCAUUGCUUUCAAUAGGAAACCUUUAGCGUCAAAAACAGACGCGAAUUUGAAAUCACGCUGAAGAAGUCUAAUGCAGAACACAUCGUGAUAUUUGGCAUCAGUUCACGUGUGCCAGAUGUUGGUCAGUAGUCGUAAAUACGCUGUUCUAAUGUUUGCUUUCUAAAUGAAAGCACCUUACUAAACUAGGUUAAACACUGAUUAAACACUGUCACGUGACGUGCUAUAGACCUUCAAUCAGUUAAUCAUAUUCAUAUCAGGUUCAAAGUAGUACAAGUGUAGUUUCAAAAUGGUAUUUGUAGUAGAAGCACGGUAAAAACAACCCUUACCAUGCUUUUACCACAGUAUUACUAGUUUUAAUGUGAUAUUUGUUGUCAAUACAGAGUAACCACAACACUUACCAUGCUUUUAAUGCCUAAUAAUGUAAAAUCCAAAAAUUGCAAGGUCAGUCAGUACUUUUUUCCUAUAUAUAAUCCUAUAUAUUAUAAAUAAUGAUAUUUUCUUUUCUCUUGCUUCAGCUGAAAAGACCAAAAGGGCCUUUCAGAAAUAAACGGAGGAGACAGAAAGCUGCAAAAGCAAAUAAAAAUUAAAUUAACUUAAAAUUAAAUUAAAUUAAAAUUAAAGUCAAUUCCUGUACAUAUUUAUCGUGAUAUUUGUAAAUCAGCUGUGCACCUUCUUGGACAGUCGGAUGUCCCACACACUGUCAGAAAGUUUAUAUUAAUUCCAUUGAAUUCUUUAAAAUUAUUACAAAUUGGGCCCAAAAUGUUCCAGUGAUACUUGAUGUGAGUCGCUGCGAAUCUUGCCGUGAUCAGCCCUUUCCAGGGAAAGUUUCUAGAUAUUUAAAUCCGUAUUUACUCAUCAAAUGCUCUCCUGAAUGGUAUGGUAAAUUAACUUAUUUAUAACUGUCUCAAUUUGUAUGUUUUAAGAACAAUAGUAAUUGCACAUAGAGUAAGUAGCGACUUUCUUGUUUUACUGUGCAGAGAAGGAAGGCCAGUCCUUUUAUCAAAGCAAGCUCAUCGAAGUCCUUUGUUUAGGGUGAGGCAGGAACAUGGCCAUCUCGUGCCCAAAGAAGACAGAAGUCCAUUGGUAUGUCUUGUAUUGAGACGGAUAGCAAGAGAAGUCACUAACAGAUGAUUCUAGAGGGAAAAGACUAAUGUGCAGCCACGGAGGAAUACAAGAGGCACAAACUAUGCAUGGCCAUGGCUGCUUCAUGAGUAUGACCAGGACUGGAGAACGCCUGACAAUGGGAUGUUAAGACUUCUUCCUCUGGUUGAGAAAAAGUACCCUACAAUCAGUUGAGUUGUAGGGUACUGAACAAACUGUUUAGAAGAAGAACAUUAAAAUGAAAAUGAACAUGUACAGGGAAGAGCAAGAAACCACUUUAGCUGUGAUAAUGAAUCUUUAUUUUAAACACAAUAUCAAAUCUGUUUUCUAUAUCAUAGUUGACUGGAUUGGAUUAUUCUGUGGCGCUCAUUUGUGUGGCUUCAGCAACUGUGAAUGGAUUAAUAUGACGUUAACGUAUUUUUCAAGACAGAUUUUUAUUUAUCUUCAGUCUCAUUUGUCUUUAUGCUACUUUCACUGUUAUGCUGUAUCUUCCAAUGAAGUGUAAUAAAGUAUGGUGAAUACGGUGUGAACGUAGUGUUUGGUACAGUAAAUAAAAUUUAGGCUCUUCAAACUACAUAUAAAUAAUUACCAUGAUUUUUUUACUUAGGACAUAAAUAUUUUUGAUCUGAUUAAUGAUAUUUGGGACAACAAUGCACCAAAAUUUGCAUAUACUUUCAUGUUGUGACAAGUAUGCCAGUUUCCAGAGAAAUAAAGGGAAGGAAUGUGAAUUAGGAGAGGCUGCAGUGGGCUAUAUCGCUACAAACACUUCAAGCAGAACUGAAGAUGAUCCAUGUUGAUCAUUCUGGUACUUCUGCUGCAUUCAAAAUGACAGCAUGGACAUUACUAAUGUCAGCCAUGUGAGGAGCAAGAAGAGGGGUGAAGAUGAAAUUUUGGCACUGUUUCUUUGUUAUUUUACUGAAUGGUGCAUUAUACUUGUGUAACAGUAAUAGUAAAGUGUACAUUUAUAAAUAGUUUUUUGUUUACUGCCAACACUGGAAAUUGGUUAAUGGCAAGUUGUUGCGGGUUCAUCCAUUAUAUUUAUUGGAGUUCAUACAAAAAAAAGCAAAGAAAUAAUCAACUAUUAUUCAAUCAAUCAAUUAUUAUUAUUAUUAUUAUUAUUGUAUUACAACAUUUCGUUAAAUAUUUCCAUAUUUCAUCAGGUGGUCUCACAAUACCCAUCAAAACCUAUAUAAGCAUGAUGUUAGAAUAGAAAAGGGGGGAAAAGAAAAAAAAUACUCCAAUAUUUAAAUGUGAUUCAACAAAGUUUGUGAUCCAUGACAGGGAGAAUACGUCUAUGUAGAUUUUACUGCCCUUCCAUCCCCGAGGGGACCAGUAAUGGCCCCUGGAAGAGCAAAAAAAAUGCACAUUUCAAAUGGCUGUAACUCAAAGUCUGGUUAGUGUAUCAAAGAGAAAAUCAUCAGGACAACUGC